RNAcentral lists this ribosomal RNA (682 nucleotides) under Escherichia coli. RNAcentral describes it as "partial 23S ribosomal RNA". It matches the Rfam family "Bacterial large subunit ribosomal RNA", at positions 595 to 1276 of the family's 2925-position model. Lineage: Bacteria; Pseudomonadati; Pseudomonadota; Gammaproteobacteria; Enterobacterales; Enterobacteriaceae. The record is from RNAcentral.
GACUGCGUACCUUUUGUAUAAUGGGUCAGCGACUUAUAUUCUGUAGCAAGGUUAACCGAAUAGGGGAGCCGAAGGGAAACCGAGUCUUAACUGGGCGUUAAGUUGCAGGGUAUAGACCCGAAACCCGGUGAUCUAGCCAUGGGCAGGUUGAAGGUUGGGUAACACUAACUGGAGGACCGAACCGACUAAUGUUGAAAAAUUAGCGGAUGACUUGUGGCUGGGGGUGAAAGGCCAAUCAAACCGGGAGAUAGCUGGUUCUCCCCGAAAGCUAUUUAGGUAGCGCCUCGUGAAUUCAUCUCCGGGGGUAGAGCACUGUUUCGGCAAGGGGGUCAUCCCGACUUACCAACCCGAUGCAAACUGCGAAUACCGGAGAAUGUUAUCACGGGAGACACACGGCGGGUGCUAACGUCCGUCGUGAAGAGGGAAACAACCCAGACCGCCAGCUAAGGUCCCAAAGUCAUGGUUAAGUGGGAAACGAUGUGGGAAGGCCCAGACAGCCAGGAUGUUGGCUUAGAAGCAGCCAUCAUUUAAAGAAAGCGUAAUAGCUCACUGGUCGAGUCGGCCUGCGCGGAAGAUGUAACGGGGCUAAACCAUGCACCGAAGCUGCGGCAGCGACGCUGAUGCGUUGUUGGGUAGGGGAGCGUUCUGUAAGCCUGCGAAGGUGUGCUGUGAGGCAUGCUGG